This 214-nucleotide ribosomal RNA is filed under the name Clostridioides difficile. Its description in RNAcentral is "partial 23S ribosomal RNA". It matches the Rfam family "Bacterial large subunit ribosomal RNA", at positions 1366 to 1576 of the family's 2925-position model. The record is from RNAcentral. Lineage: Bacteria; Bacillati; Bacillota; Clostridia; Peptostreptococcales; Peptostreptococcaceae.
UCGUCCGCCCUGGGUUAGUCGGGACCUAAGCUGAGGCCGAAAGGCGUAGGGGAUGGACAACAGGUUGAUAUUCCUGUACUACCGAUAACCGUUUGAGGGAAGGGAUGACACAGUAGGAUAAGCUAAGCACACUGUUGGGUAUGUGUGCCCAAGCAUUGAGGCAGACAUAGUAUGAAAGACGGCUAUGAUAAUGCACGGGUGUGAGAGGGGACCG